UAUUUCAAAACGGAUUCAUUUUUGAUAGAAAUAUGUCAGCCAACGAAACGUUCAUUUCGAAAGAUAUUUAUAACACAAAUGAGCAUCACGGCGGAAACUGUUCAAUUGUAUUUAAGGGUAAAUCGUGCUGUGAGCGAUAUUAUAUCUUUGAAUCGAAUUGUCAAUGCGCUAUCCCAAAACCUGUUCAAAAAUGGUAUCACAAGAGCAGUUAUUGCUAUCCUUAUAUUAAAAAGGAAAAUGUUAACGGACGUUUGUUUAUUUAUCUAUGUAUGAGAUGCUACUGUUAUGAGAAACACUCAUCUUGAAUGAAUGUUUGAUAUGAGGUAAACAAAAUCAUCUUAAAUGGAUUGUUCGAUUAUCGAUUGUGGUUGCGUCUCAGAAAAAAGAAGAAGACUAUAAAUUAUCGUAUUAUUAUUGACAUUUAAACGGUUUGGAAAAUGUUGAACAUGUCUGAAGUUAAAAACGACAAAUGUGCGUGUCUAAGUAGAAAAUUUGAUUGUAAGAUAAUGACAAAUUUAUUUAAAAAUCCUUCCCAAUAGUACAACCACUAAGUUGGUUGGAUAAGUGUUUUGCUAUCUUCAGUUGCAUGUGUACUGUUUGUAUAUUGGUGUUUUUGUCUUCAAAUGUUUCCUUCAGUAAAAGUGUUGUUUGAACUUA
Mytilus trossulus (common blue mussel) is the source of this 657-nucleotide long non-coding RNA. RefSeq lists it as uncharacterized. Lineage: Eukaryota; Metazoa; Mollusca; Bivalvia; Mytilida; Mytilidae. The record is from RefSeq and is a predicted model, not a curated record. The transcript is spliced from 2 exons.